AGCUUUUUGAAUCCGUGCUGAGAUUUUAUCAGACAUCAACACAUUAGUACUGAUCAAACUUCCAAGAUAAGUAAAGCU
RNAcentral lists this microRNA precursor (78 nucleotides) under Schistosoma mansoni. RNAcentral describes it as "mir-3492 microRNA precursor family". It matches the Rfam family "mir-3492 microRNA precursor family". Lineage: Eukaryota; Metazoa; Platyhelminthes; Trematoda; Strigeidida; Schistosomatidae. The record is from Rfam by way of RNAcentral.